GCAAGUAGUACUUUCAGUCUUGCAGCCCCACAGUCAUAAUGUAUAGUUCUAUGAUUCUUCUGACCUAUUCUCUUUAUUUACCAAGUGCUGUAUCCUCCAUACGCUCCGCACCUUUUCAAAUAAUUAAACUGUCCUUAUUGUUUAAUCAUAUGUUGCUUUUUUCCAUCUCAUCAGUCUCCACAAUUCAGUCAUAACUCACUCCCUGUAGAGGCUGUUCAUUCUAACAGGCUGGAAGAGCAAACAAAAGUCUGUUGCCAAACUCAUCAACUACUUAAUCAGCUCUUUGUUUGUAAAUGUUGAACAUAGGGUGAUAGUUUUCUUUGGAGUGAGCACAACAAUGUCUCUGCAUGUCAGUCAGUAUUUGUGUAUUUAUGCAGCCUACUCUCCUUGGAAUUGCACUGAAGAGUUUUGGAGUUCAUCCAUCUGCUUUGUAAAUCUCUUUUAACUAUUUCCUUGCCCCAGUACUGUUUUUCCACUCCAGGUCCUUAUCCUGUUUUGUCCCUUUGUCUUCCACAUACAUGAUUCUUUAAUUCUUUGUCUGCUCAUUCAGUUUAUCUUUGUUUUAUCUUGCAGCCUUACUUCUUGCCAGAGCUAUUUCCCUACUCCACCUACAAGAGAUAGGGAUCAGUGAUUCCCUGUCACCUUAUCCUACCAACCUUAGUCCCAUUGUUGAUCCUGUACUUUAAAAUUUCCCUCUCUCUAUCAAACGUGCCUUCUCCAGUUCCUCUCCCAUUUUCUGUACUAGCUUCCAGACCUUCCAUCUUCUUCUCACAGCCACAAUCCUGCUGUCCAUCUACCUCCUCACUGUCAUCUUAAUGUGCACGUAUGCCAUGUUACAUUUUGGGAGCAAAUAAGAGUGUGCCUCAUUCUGUGGAAGCUUUAGUGCAAUUUAAUGUAUACUUAAUUUACAUAGAAUAAUUGCAAACCUUACUACAAUCUGAUUUUAUGGCACCGAGUAAAGGAAAAUUUAUCUAUAUCUGAUUCAGUAUUUCAGAUCCUGAUUGACUGCUUACAUACUGCAUGAGUCAGAAAACUCAAUAAAACCUCAUUGGAACAAUAAAGCCACUUUAAGAGUUUCGUGUAUGGCUGCAACCAGUCUGUAAUUUAUUUUAAUACCCAAUGAGCAAGGAACAUCUUGGAGAUAACAGAGGGAAAUGAGAUAACACAUAUAUCUAAAAGUAGUAAUGCAGCUCCUUUGCUCAACCAGUGUUUUAUACACGAUUUAGCUGGAGUAAGAUUUGGAUGUUCUUUACUGCUGUCAUGAAAACUGUCUGCUACACAGCAUUAACUUACUGGUUUUGGCAAUGAAGAAGCUGAGAUUUUCCCAGUACCAGAAGUACCACGCAUCCCACUCUGAUUUCUUUAUAAAAUACUGGUGAACAAAAGACCUUCCUGAAUUUCAGCAUGCUUACUAAGGACUUGGAAAUCACUGGGAGGACGAUACUCAAGAGGCUGCCAAAGUGUGAUGCUGCAAACAGUUGCGCAUGCUUUCCUUUACAGAAAAUAAAUAUGAAAUAAAGAGAACAGCU
Long non-coding RNA from Gallus gallus (chicken), 1529 nucleotides. The record is from Ensembl. NCBI's taxonomy places the organism in Eukaryota, Metazoa, Chordata, Aves, Galliformes, Phasianidae.